GACGAACGCUGGCGGCGUGCUUAACACAUGCAAGUCGAACGGAAAGGCCUCUUUCGGGGGGUACUCGAGUGGCGAACGGGUGAGUAACACGUGAGUAACCUGCCCUUGACUUUGGGAUAACUUCAGGAAACUGGGGCUAAUACCGGAUAGGAGCUCCUGCUGCAUGGUGGGGGUUGGAAAGUUUCGGCGGUUGGGGAUGGACUCGCGGCUUAUCAGCUUGUUGGUGGGGUAGUGGCUUACCAAGGCUUUGACGGGUAGCCGGCCUGAGAGGGUGACCGGCCACAUUGGGACUGAGAUACGGCCCAGACUCCUACGGAAGGCAGCAGUGGGGAAUAUUGCACAAUGGGUGGAAGCCUGAUGCAGCAACGCCGUGUGCGGGAUGACGGCCUUCGGGUUGUAAACCGCUUUCGCUCACGACGAAGCUUUGUGUGACGGUAGUGGGUAAAGAAGCACCGGCUAACUACGUG
This 467-nucleotide ribosomal RNA is filed under the name uncultured bacterium. Its description in RNAcentral is "partial 16S ribosomal RNA". It matches the Rfam family "Bacterial small subunit ribosomal RNA", at positions 28 to 507 of the family's 1533-position model. The record is from RNAcentral.